This 921-nucleotide unclassified non-coding RNA is filed under the name Melitaea cinxia (Glanville fritillary). Its description in RNAcentral is "misc RNA ENSMCXG00005000731.1". Lineage: Eukaryota; Metazoa; Arthropoda; Insecta; Lepidoptera; Nymphalidae. The record is from RNAcentral.
AACCUUAAUGUUAAUGUCAUUUGUCAUACAUGUGAUGGGUGUCAAAUAAAAUUAAUGUUUAUUGAUGGGUAGAUUUGCUCUAAGUUAAUAAAAAAUUAAAAUAUUGUAAGUGAACGUGUGCUAAAAGAAAUUUUACAGCUGAGUAAUUAUAUAAAUGAAAAAAGAAAAAAAUAAUAAUACCCAAUUACAACAAAAGACAUCAACUUAAUUAAAGACAUCAGCCUAAUUAAUACUACAUAAUUUAUACCAAAACGAACUGCAAAUAUUAAGAAUUUUCCUCCUGCUUCGUAUCUCAAAAAAUUCUUGUUGCUUGGUUAGAAUUGCAACUUGUUUUUGAAGAGAAUCAAGAGCAGAAAGUACAAAUGUGCGAAAUGUGGAGAAUUGAGCUGCUAUAUUUGAAGCUGGACUUGAAGUAAGAUUUGAAGCCUGUAGACUUUGUUGGAAUUCUGUCAUCUUCAAGUUAAAAUGUUGAGUUAAUUCUUCAAUUGAGUGCUGGAUUGACUCCAUUUUGUAAUUCGUAUUGAAGAAGAAUCAAAUAACACAAAGGUACACACAGUUUACUUAGUUUUGUACAAAAAAAAAAAUUAAUAAUGAAAUAACUGCUGGUAGGUAUGUUAAGUUUUAGUGCAUUAUGUGUGUUAAAAAUGCAACAAUAUAAUUAAAUUUAAUAAAAACUUGAAGAGCUCUUUAUAAAACGUGUUGACUAUUUUACACCUACCGCCCAAAAAAACCUACCGCCCAAAAAAAUUUUUAUUGAUAAAGACAGUAUUUUACGCGUUGGAGGUCGAUUGACGUAUUCAAAUACGUUCUCAUAUAACAAAAGGCACCCUAUUUUAUUAAGCAGUAAUCAUCACUUCACCAAAUUGUUGUUCCGUUAUGAACACAUAAAAUUAUUACAUGCAGGUCCUCAAGCUUUGUUGU